AAUCAAUGUAAUCAAUAACUAAUCAUUCAACAAUUAUCUAAUGGUUUCUUUGCAACAUUUAUCACUUAAGUAAAAAACACAAUAGGGAUUCAAAAUACUAUAAUUAUAUCAAGAGCAAGGAUAUUCACGCCUCGACCAAGAUUUGUAGUAAUAAUGAAACAAUUAGCAAUGAGACUGUUUCUGGAUCAAACACCCCAAUCCAAACAAGGAAUAUCCAUGUCUUUUUGUCUUGCUGUUCCACGGCUACAUAACAGACCGCAGUGCCAUGCAAUCCCAGCUUCCUUCGUUUAUCUUGCACCGGCAGUGUACUGAGGUAGCGCUAAUCUCGGUUCUAGAGGGAAUGUAAAUAAAUUACAAUAACUCAAAAAAAAAUCUGAAUACGUGGCUGCAAAGUUCAAAGACACAAGGCUUUACAGUUCCACCUUGGUUCUUGUUGGACACGUGCAUGUAAAAGAGGAACACGAUUCAGCAGUUGGGAGCUCACACCUUCAUGCCAGCGUUCGACAACCACCGCCUAUCACCGCUAGAAAACAAGCGAUCCAAAGUCACCAUGUUAGGCAUAUUAUCCAAUGCGAAGGUCGAUUAAGUAAAAUCUAACCUCCUAAACUACGCGCACCUGAGGUUUCACAAAUGGAGGGUUUCGGCAUGCUGCUGACUAAGAAAGCAGGUAUCCAGUGGACGCAACGCGAAGAUGUGUCUUAGGGCAGGCCAGCAGUGUUGGUGUGUUGCCACCGUAUGCAGGAGACAGCCUGUGGGCCUGGUCAGGCAGGGUAGCUUCAUUGGAGAGAUUAACAAUGGGUACACAUCACCAGAGAGGGUCAGAGGUGAUCACUGAUCAGCCAGCGGAGACGGCAUUGGAGUUGGAAGUUGGGAACGCAUGAGAGAUGGAGAGACGAGAGAUUCAAAACCCGGUCUCUGUCAUCGUGGACACUCGGAUCUCCAUCCGACGUCCACUUCAUUGCCUGAAGCUAAACCAUAUUUCAGGCACCUGACAUAGAGUGCCUCUCGAAAGGAAUAGAGUGCACGGGAAACACAAAACACACACACAGAUAGAGACUAUGCAUUGGCUGUAGACCACCCCAGAAAUAAUUGAUUGAAUCCUGUUAACAACAAAAUACGUCAGCAAUGAUUAAUUGAAUAUCACCAAGCUUGUUAACUAUCUUAAACCGCCAUGCUUUAGAGUAUGCACAGUGAUAACACCUGCUAUGGCAAAGUGUCCAUUUUAAAUUUUUAUGUCAAAACUUUUUAAAAUUCAAAGUGAAAUUGUCUAUUGGCAGGACAGUAAAAUACCAAACAAUGGAAAAACCAAGGCAUUUAUAGUACAACAUGACAGACAGUAUAAGAUUGUCAUUUCAACCUGGAGAAACUUUAGGAGCUGGAAGAGUUUAGGUCUGUGUGAGAGCAAAAUAUUUUUUUUAUAGUUUCUAUGCAAUACCAUGGUUUUGGACAAUACCGUAGUAUUUUAUGUCAUGAGGUGUUUAGUUGCACUCCUGAAAACUAUGUUUUCAAAACCAUUGUUUAUAGAUACCAUGAUAUUUUUAGAGUAUUGGAGAUUCCACUACAACCUAAAGUUUUUAUGGCAUGACUAGCUUUUGCCUAAUACCAUGGUUUAUAAUAUUGUCUCCAAACAAUGUUUCUCAAAACCAUGUUAUUUUUGGAGCUACCAAAACUACGGUAUUAUCAUGUGUAAAACAUUGUUGCCAAACAGGCCCUCAGAGUUUUUCAAAAUGGCUCUAGCUCCUCCCUUUUUAAUGAAAAAGGGCCAAACAGGCCCUCAAGAGUUUUUUCAAAAUGGCUCUAGCUCCUCCCUUUUUAAUGAAAAAGGGCCGUAAAUAACUAUUUCUACCGAACCAUUUGAUAAGGCUCAAGAGUUUUUCAAAAUGGCUCUAGCUCCUCCCUUUUUAAUGAAAAAGGGCCGUAAAUAACUAUUUCUACCGAACCAUUUGAUAAGGCUCCUAUCCAGGAGUCGAAGGCCACCAAUACACUCAUUUUUGUUCCAAAUUAUAGUUCACGUCGUUUUUAAAGAGCCAUUUGGAACCUUUGCCGCUCCCUCUCCUUGCCUAGCCAGGUGAAAAAAUUGGCACACGGUUGUUGUUUUUUUUUGGGGGGUGGGGGGGGGGGGGUGGCGUUGGUCUUUGAUUGUGAUUUCAAGAUUUCCCCACGGCUCGCACUUGGCAAGGCUGGCCUAGCUUGGUAGGGACAGGCAAGCAAAGCUGGCAUUAGUGCAUUUUUCAUGGAAAUUUAGAUACUAUUUUUUCAUGGAAACUACACGCACAUGACAGACAGUAUAACAUGCUCCAAACUUCUCUAGUUUUGAGUGGGAUGAAAAUGGUAAUUCGAACGGUUAGAACAAAUUUAAUAUUUUAAAUUAGAUAUGUAUAAAAUUUAAUAUUGAUCUUUUUUUAUGUUAUCAAGCACAUUAGUACAAAUACGAAUAAAAUAUUACAUAAAUUGCUUUAUGUAUUAUUUGCUCCCUACAACACAAAAAGUUGAAAAAAUUACCGAAUUUAUUUUCGAAUCCAUACCGAAGUUUAUAUCUAUUAUUUAAAAAAAUAUAUGAUGAAUUUGAGGUUUACCUUUUAUGAAUCUUUAGAAGCUGAAUGUUAAAAACAAGAAUACAAAUUUGUAUUAUAGAUUCUAUAUCCUAUUUAUUCACAAUCAAAGAAAAAUGACUAAAAAACUUAUUACCGAAUAAAUACCGUUUCUGACCGUUUUCAUCCCUAGUUUUGACUAAAGUUUUAAAAAAUAGCAUCUAUAAGUUAAAUUAAAUGCACCAUCGAGAUAUUUUCAUGGAAAUUUAGUAAAACUAAUUCGAGGAUGCAUGCGUUAGUGCAUUUUUCUAUAGACUUAUCAAAGUUAGAGAAGUUAAGCUUACAUCAAAUCUAAAUGAACUAUAAUCUGGAACAUAGGGAGUACCCGCUUCCUAAGCAUCCUUCCGACUCAGGUUUGUUGAUGAAUUUCCUUUCCAAAUCACGAUUUUCCUUUCUAGGGACCUACAGAUCACAUGGCCAUCAGGGUAAUGUUAUGCUUUAAAGGUGAUGGACAGAUGAUAUUCCAGGAAGAAUCACAAUAGCCACAGAUGUCAAACUAGUACAGAUGCACAUUGAGAAUGCAAUUGAGAAGCCAGUGUUUAGGAAAACAGAGAAACCAAACAAACUUUGCCUUGAAACGACAUUGGGGACUAUAAAUGUAACAAAAAUUACUCUACUGAUGUUCUGUCGAUUCAGACUACACGUUGAGAGGUUUGCUAAGAUUGUAAAAAUGUUUAUAAUUUCGGUCAUUAAAUUUAUAUUAUAACAUGGUAAUAGCUUUUGGUGCCAUAUAUAUUUAUUUUCCUUUUCUCUUUCUUUUCUGUUUAUUGUGCUCAUGUAGAAGUUGCAACUCUAAGCUAUGCUAACUUGCUUAGGACUAAAAGGCUUUGUUUUUUUCUCAAAUGGCUGUUCCUAAGGUAUUUUUUGUUGGUCCAAAUAUUAGCAUGUAAAUAAAACAGGUAUGUUAUCCCCAAAUCCAAAGCAUGAGGAACUUAUUGAGUAUUGAUUUAUCUUUAACAAUGUAUUACUAGACUUUGUUGUACAUUUCUAAAUUAUUUUUCUAAACUUAUAGCUUGUUUGUAGCUCGGAAACUGACAGUACUUCCUGUUUUACCGAUAGCUCUGGCAAAGGGAGGCAGCAAGCUUGAGGCAA
RNAcentral lists this long non-coding RNA (3683 nucleotides) under Zea mays. RNAcentral's name for it is "long non-coding RNA (ZMAY_LNC003472)". The record is from RNAcentral. Lineage: Eukaryota; Viridiplantae; Streptophyta; Magnoliopsida; Poales; Poaceae.